Long non-coding RNA from Molossus molossus (Pallas's mastiff bat), 263 nucleotides. RefSeq lists it as uncharacterized. The transcript has 3 exons. The record is from RefSeq and is a predicted model, not a curated record. NCBI's taxonomy places the organism in Eukaryota, Metazoa, Chordata, Mammalia, Chiroptera, Molossidae.
CACUGUUGCUCAAUUGACCGCAUGAGACAGGUGCUGAGUGAGCAACUUCAGCCUUCCAAACAGGCAGAAGAGUAGACAGUGUUACGAACCUUCAUAUACUCACCAUGAUAACUUUCUUUUACCACUUUACAAUAACUCACAUGCUGGAACUUUUGACACUCAAUUCCACAAGCAAACGUCAAGUCUCUUUCAAGAGCACGAAAAAAUAACAGAAGAUUUAUUAACCUGUUCUGGAGAGCCCGCACAGUCCUAGACACCAAAAC